Molecule: ribosomal RNA, 516 nt
Filed under: Bacillus sp. EB27
Lineage: Bacteria; Bacillati; Bacillota; Bacilli; Caryophanales; Bacillaceae
Description: bacterial SSU rRNA
Rfam family: Bacterial small subunit ribosomal RNA
Source: RNAcentral
GCGGCGGACGGGUGAGUAACACGUGGGUAACCUGCCCAUAAGACUGGGAUAACUCCGGGAAACCGGGGCUAAUACCGGAUAACAUUUUGAACCGCAUGGUUCGAAAUUGAAAGGCGGCUUCGGCUGUCACUUAUGGAUGGACCCGCGUCGCAUUAGCUAGUUGGUGAGGUAACGGCUCACCAAGGCAACGAUGCGUAGCCGACCUGAGAGGGUGAUCGGCCACACUGGGACUGAGACACGGCCCAGACUCCUACGGGAGGCAGCAGUAGGGAAUCUUCCGCAAUGGACGAAAGUCUGACGGAGCAACGCCGCGUGAGUGAUGAAGGCUUUCGGGUCGUAAAACUCUGUUGUUAGGGAAGAACAAGUGCUAGUUGAAUAAGCUGGCACCUUGACGGUACCUAACCAGAAAGCCACGGCUAACUACGUGCCAGCAGCCGCGGUAAUACGUAGGUGGCAAGCGUUAUCCGGAAUUAUUGGGCGUAAAGCGCGCGCAGGUGGUUUCUUAAGUCUGAUGUG